RNAcentral lists this ribosomal RNA (465 nucleotides) under uncultured bacterium. RNAcentral's name for it is "partial 16S ribosomal RNA". It matches the Rfam family "Bacterial small subunit ribosomal RNA", at positions 338 to 795 of the family's 1533-position model. The record is from RNAcentral.
CCUACGGGAGGCAGCAGUGAGGAAUAUUGGUCAAUGGACGAAAGCCUGACGCAGCGACGCCGCGUGAGGGAUGAAGGUCUUCGGAUCGUAAACCUCUGUCAGCAGGGAAGAACGGUCACUGUGCUAAUCAGCAGUGAAUUGACGGUACCUGCAAAGGAAGCACCGGCUAACUCCGUGCCAGCAGCCGCGGUAAUACGGAGGGUGCGAGCGUUAAUCGGAAUUACUGGGCGUAAAGCGCUCGUAGGCGGUAUGUCAAGUCAAGGGUGAAAUCCCCGCGCUCAACGUGGGAACUGCCUUUGAAACUGGCAAAGUGUAGUGUGUGAUAGGAGAGUGGAAUUCCAGGUGUAGGAGUGAAAUCCGUAUAUAUCUGGAGGAACAUCAGUGGCGAAGGCGACUAUCUGGCACAUAACUGACGCUGAGGAGCGAAAGCGUGGGUAGCAAACAGGAUUAGAUACCCGAGUAGUC